CCAUGCCGCGUGAAGGAGACGGUCCUAUGGAUUGUAAACUUCUUUUGUUGCGAAGUAAGGACAGCCACGUGUGGUUGUUUGAGAGUAUGCAAGGAAUAAGUAUCGGCUAACUCCGUGCCAGCAGCCGCGGUAAU
Molecule: ribosomal RNA, 134 nt
Filed under: uncultured Bacteroidota bacterium
Lineage: Bacteria; Pseudomonadati; Bacteroidota
Description: uncultured Bacteroidetes bacterium partial 16S ribosomal RNA
Rfam family: Bacterial small subunit ribosomal RNA
Source: RNAcentral